UCAAUUGCUAACCUCCAGCUCCCGUGUACCAGGGAAAAGGGGAUCCAUGGAGAUGAGGAACUAAGGUGGAGAUGCGGCAAGGCGGAGAAGGAGUGCGGAGGAAGGGCGGCUUCGGGCUCGUGGCGGACCGGAUCCAGCGAGGGGGAGGCCGGAUCCGUCGGCUAGCGACGCGAGGAGCUCACGGCGGAGCUCGAGCGCCAUGGGAGUUAAGUAGGAAAAGGAGAGAGCGGCGGUGUCGCGGGUACAUGCGCACACUCGCGGACGCAGGCAAACGGCUCCGGCAGGAGACGUGGCGCACGACAGCGACAACGGCUCUCCUCAGGAGGACCUUGGGCAUUGAGAGGUUGAGCUGUGCGCUGCACCAAGGACAGAGCCCACUGACUGCUCGUCAUGGGCCACCGCCACCACGCCUUCGACGGGAUCGGACCUCCACCACUCCAGCAAGCAGGAGCAUCGUGGUGGUUGCGGUCAAUUGAAAUCUUAGUUUCUUCAUCUUCUUUGAGAUUAUGUUUUGUCUGCAUCUGAUAAUUAGGAUGGCCUCCUUUCUUUCAGGUUUGUACUGUUAAUUAAGAUGAACUUGGGUGUCGAGGAUGAUUUGGAAGAUUAUAUAUCCUGACCAGAUAAAAUCAGUGCUGCCGAUCUGAGUUGAUUUUCUUUUGAUAAAGGGAGCUUUAAUAUGUUAGUUGAUUUGGAAGAUUAUUUCUCUAGACCAGAUAAAAUCAAUGCUGCUGAUUUGAGUUGAUUCGGAAGAUUAUGUCUUCAGACCAGAUAAAAUCAGUGUUGCUGAUUUUUGUUGGAGAGAAUAUGUAAGGCUAAUGUUUGAGCAGGAGAGUGACAAGAUGCAAGAGUGAUACAUCCAAGCACUUGAUUUGAGUCAAACUUGGUUUGCUGUACAGAAUUCCACCGUAUUUGUCCACACAAAUAGUUCUUCAUAUUUAGUCAAAAUUGUUUUUCUCCAUAGUUCAGUGUCUACAUCUUUAUUCUCCGAAUAUAGUCAUACUCUCCAUUUUAUAAAGUGCAAAUGUACUUCGGCCAAUUGAUUUUAGUAGUCCUCCUGUUUGUACAGUAUGGAUGAAAUUUGACCUACCAGUAUACCUAUAAAGAUAUUAAGAUUGGAUACUUAAAAAUCCUAUACGAACUUUUGUCUUCAACAUGAUUUCACAAUAUAUAGUUUUAUGACAUUUCGGUAAAUAUAUUCAAGUAAAAUAUUGGUGGUUAAAGCCGGAUUAUGGAGAUCUUACCAAAACAAACAACUACUAGGAACUAGAUCAAUGUGUAUUUGCAAGUCAAGCUCAGCUUAUAGUGAUUGUGAAGUGAGAUUGAAUGCAUUUUGGCGAUGAAAUCACGUAGGAUCAAAGCGGAGGUGCCUACUUUCUACCAAGAAAUUGCAUCUUCAUCAAAUGUUUAUGUCUUCCUUUCUUCCUUGACAAUAUGAAUCUGAAUACUACUUUCUUUUCCUGGAUGUAGUUUCCACUAUAGUAUAUAGCUACCUUCCAUGUCUUUUGUGAACCCAGUUUGUAGUGUGCCACUCUGAAGCUGAAUUCUUCUUGUGUACCCAGUUUGUAGUGUGCCACUCUGAAGCUGAAUUCUUCCUGGGUGUAUCAUGCACCUGUGUCUUCUUGUUGUAUAUUCUCAAGUCUCAACUGCAGAUUCUCAAAGGCUUUGGACACCACUUGGACCUACAACAAAGAUUUGGACUAUUUAAUUUAGUGACAUUGAUCAUAGCCGCCUGCUGGUUUUCUUCACUCCCCAGCUCUAGAUUUUGGCGUACACGGUACACCGUGACAAUUCUAUCUUGGUUCUAGACAAAUAGGUUGCAUGUUCUUCUAUUAUCAUGAGUAUCAUGUUCCCACUUGCAGCUCGGUUAUUAAGUUAAAGCUAAAGUCCUGAUUGUACUGUCUAGAGGUGGAAUGGCUAAGCUCUCUUUAUGAUCCUUUCUGCCGAAUAUCUUGCAAAUGCCACACUAAAGUGCAGGAAAUUAUUAGGUGUGUGGGUAUCAGUCCACUAUGUUCUUAUGUCGAUGGAUCCGGGAAAUGUUGACACUUUUUGGUUUUGGUCACAAAAAUGUUUGUAUAGGAUAUCAUCUUGAAUAUAUGUAUUUCUAAAGUAAUACUACUUCCUAGUUAGUUAAUUGAAGUAUUGAUACAAUCAAUUGGAUGUUUUUCUAUAGUUAUGGAUCUAGCGGAAAAAUUGUUGUUUUCA
Long non-coding RNA from Triticum aestivum (bread wheat), 2202 nucleotides. RefSeq lists it as uncharacterized. NCBI's taxonomy places the organism in Eukaryota, Viridiplantae, Streptophyta, Magnoliopsida, Poales, Poaceae. The record is from RefSeq and is a predicted model, not a curated record. The transcript is spliced from 2 exons.